RNAcentral lists this ribosomal RNA (731 nucleotides) under uncultured bacterium. Its description in RNAcentral is "bacterial SSU rRNA". It matches the Rfam family "Bacterial small subunit ribosomal RNA", at positions 771 to 1501 of the family's 1533-position model. The record is from RNAcentral.
AACAGGAUUAGAUACCCGGGUAGUCCACGCCGUAAACGAUGUCGACUUGGAGGUUGUGCCCUUGAGGCGUGGCUUCCGGAGCUAACGCGUUAAGUCGACCGCCUGGGGAGUACGGCCGCAAGGUUAAAACUCAAAUGAAUUGACGGGGGCCCGCACAAGCGGUGGAGCAUGUGGUUUAAUUCAAUGCAACGCGAAGAACCUUACCUAUUCUUGACAUCCAGAGAACUUUCCAGAGAUGGAUUGGUGCCUUCGGGAACUCUGAGACAGGUGCUGCAUGGCUGUCGUCAGCUCGUGUUGUGAAAUGUUGGGUUAAGUCCCGCAACGAGCGCAACCCUUAUCCUUUGUUGCCAGCGGUCCGGCCGGGAACUCAAAGGAGACUGCCAGUGAUAAACUGGAGGAAGGUGGGGAUGACGUCAAGUCCUCAUGGCCUUUAUGACCAGGGCUACACACGUACUACAAUGGCAUAAACAAAGGGCAGCAACAUCGCGAUGUGGAGCGAAUCCCAAAAUUAUGUCUCAGUCCGGAUUGGAGUCUGCAACUCGACUCCAUGAAGUUGGAAUCGCUAGUAAUCGCGGAUCAGCACGCCGCGGUGAAUACGUUCCCGGGCCUUGUACACACCGCCCGUCACACCACGGGAGUUGGUUGUACCAGAAGCAGUUGAGCCAACCGUUUACGGAGGCAGGCUGCCAAGGUAUGGCGAGUAACUGGGGUGAAGUCGUAACAAGGUAACC